GACGAACGCUGGCGGCGUGCUUAACACAUGCAAGUCGAACGGAAAGGCCCUUCGGGGUACUCGAGUGGCGAACGGGUGAGUAACACGUGGGUGAUCUGCCCUGCACUUUGGGAUAAGCCUGGGAAACUGGGUCUAAUACCCAAUAGGACCACGCGCUUCAUGGUGUGUGGUUGAAAGCUUUUGCGGCGUGAGAUGGGCCCGCGGGCUAUCAGUUAGUUGGUGGGGUAAUGGUCUACGAAGGCGACGACGGGUAGGCGGCCUGAGAGUGUCGCCGGGCACACUGGGACUGCGAGACGGCCCAGACGCCUACGGGCGGCAGCAGGCGGGAAUAUUGCGGAAUGGGCGCGAGCCUGAUGUAGCGACGCCGCGUGAGGGAUGACGGCUUUCGGGUUGUAAACCUCUUUCAAUAGGGACGAAGCGGAAGUGACGGUACCUAUAGAAGAAGCACCGGCUAACUACGUG
RNAcentral lists this ribosomal RNA (462 nucleotides) under uncultured bacterium. RNAcentral describes it as "partial 16S ribosomal RNA". It matches the Rfam family "Bacterial small subunit ribosomal RNA", at positions 28 to 507 of the family's 1533-position model. The record is from RNAcentral.